UAAGAGACUUUCUCCUUUGCUAAAGGUAUG
Molecule: non-coding RNA, 30 nt
Filed under: Mus musculus (house mouse)
Lineage: Eukaryota; Metazoa; Chordata; Mammalia; Rodentia; Muridae
Source: RNAcentral